AUGCGCCGAUGGAGCGGACGAAGUCUGAUUAGCUUGUUGGUGGGGUAAUGGCCUACCAAGGCGAUGAUCAGUAGCGGGCCCGAGAGGGUGGCCCGCCACACUGGGACUGAGACACUGCCCAGACUCCUACGGGAGGCUGCAGUCGCGAAUCAUUCACAAUGGACGGAAGUCUGAUGAUGCCACGCCGCGUGCGGGAAGAAGGCCUUCGGGUUGUAAACCGCUGUCGAGAGGGGGGAAGUGUUGACUGCCCUCUGGAGGAAGCCCCGGCUAAACACGUGCCAGCAGCCGCGGUAAUACGUGUGGGGCAAGCGUUGUUCGGAAUCACUGGGCUUAAAGGGUGCGUAGGCGGCCUGCCAAGUCAGGGGUGAAAUCCCGCGGCCCAACCGUGGAAUUGCCUUUGAUACUGGUUGGCUUGAGUGUGCCAGGGGUGAGCGGAACGUGUGGUGUAGCGGUGAAAUGCGUAGAUGUCACACGGAAGGCCGGAGCCGAAGGGGGCUCACUGGGGCACAACUGACGCUGAGGCACGAAAGCGUGGGGAGCAAACAGGAUUAGAUACCCUGGUAGUCCACGCCGUAGACGAUGAGCACUAGGCGGUUGUCUUGUUAGAGAUGGGCGUUGGAGAGAAAUUGUUAAGUGCUCCGCCUUGGGAGUAUGGUCGCAAGGCUUAAACUCCAAGGAAUUGACGGGGGCUCAACAAAAGCGGUGGACGAUGUGGUUUAAUUCGAAGACAACGCGAAGUACCUUACCAGGUCUGUACAUGCUGGUAUCAACCGUGUGAAAGCACGGGGCUUGCCCAUCCGGGUGUAACCAGCACAGGUGCUGCAUGGCUGUCGUCAGCUCGUG
This 843-nucleotide ribosomal RNA is filed under the name uncultured organism. Its description in RNAcentral is "bacterial SSU rRNA". It matches the Rfam family "Bacterial small subunit ribosomal RNA", at positions 213 to 1064 of the family's 1533-position model. The record is from RNAcentral.